RNAcentral lists this unclassified non-coding RNA (425 nucleotides) under soil metagenome. Its description in RNAcentral is "partial contains 5.8S ribosomal RNA, internal transcribed spacer 2, and large subunit ribosomal RNA". The stretch from base 1 to 120 matches the Rfam family "5.8S ribosomal RNA", at positions 35 to 154 of the family's 154-position model. The record is from RNAcentral.
GAUGAAGAACGCAGCGAAAUGCGAUAAGUAGUGUGAAUUGCAGAAUUCCGUGAAUCAUCGAAUCUUUGAACGCACAUUGCGCCUUCUGGUAUUCCGGAAGGCAUGCCUGUUCGAGAGUCAUUAACAACCGUUUCGAUCCCUUUCUUUCAGAAAUUACAAAGAGGAAAAGGGUUUGGUUAUGGUGGAGGAGGGAAAGGGAGCGUUUAGCCUGUAAAAAAAGAGGCUGUGUUCCGCCUCCCCCCCAAAAUUGUACAGGCGGUCGUGUGCGCCCACGCAUCGAGGUGUUGUAAAAGCUGCCACGGCACUUUUCACCUGUUCAGUGCGAGAUUGGCCAGCCGGUUUAAAAACCCCUCCAAACAAUCAAAGGUUGACCUCGGAUCAGGUAGGGAUACCCGCUGAACUUAAGCAUAUCAAUAAGCGGAGGA